CUCCUAAGAAAUCCCCGCCACCUUCAUACCAUUACAGUUCUCCUCCUCCUCCUCCUAAGAAAUCUCCACCACCACCAUACCAUUAUAGUUCUCCUCCCCCUCCAGUGAAAUCUCCACCGCCUCCAUACCAUUACUCGUCACCACCUCCUCCUAAGAAGUCUCAUCCGCCACCAUAUCAUUACUCGUCUCCUCCCCCUCCAGUGAAAUCUCCACUGCCUCCAUAUCACUACUCAUCGCCUCCUCCUCCUCCUAAAAAGUCUCCACCGCCUCCAUACCAUUACUCUUCAACUCCUCCUCCCAAGAAAUCUCCUCCACCAUCAUACCACUACUCGUCGCCUCCUCCUCCAGUGAAAUCUCCCCCACUUCUAUACCAUUACUCUUCCCCUCCGCCUCCCAAGAAGUCCCCCCCACCACCAUACCACUACUCCUCACCUCCUCCUCCGGUAAAGUCUCCACCGCCUCCAUACCACUACUCGUCACCUCCAUCACCCAAGAAGUCCCCCCCACCACCAUACCACUACUCAUCGCCUC
RNAcentral lists this long non-coding RNA (531 nucleotides) under Linum usitatissimum (flax). Its description in RNAcentral is "long non-coding RNA (LUSI_LNC003039)". Lineage: Eukaryota; Viridiplantae; Streptophyta; Magnoliopsida; Malpighiales; Linaceae. The record is from RNAcentral.